This is a long non-coding RNA of Apis florea (little honeybee), 232 nucleotides long. The record is from RefSeq and is a predicted model, not a curated record. Lineage: Eukaryota; Metazoa; Arthropoda; Insecta; Hymenoptera; Apidae.
UUCAGCCAAUCAGAAAGCUCCUAAGAUCUAACGGUGCGCUACGGCGAGAUGAGUUUCUGCGCAUCACAGUGCGCAUGAUAUUAGUCUACAGUUGAAAAUUGUGGUGACAGGACGUGUUUCGCCGGCAGAAAAUUAAAUAUGUUUGUGACAAAUUAUCGUAUGUUUGAAAUUCGAAGAUGGAAUGGUCGAAAGUAUAAUAGUUUUACACACACACACACACACACACGAUGAU